UACGUAGGGCGCAAGCGUUAUCCGGAAUUAUUGGGCGUAAAGAGCUCGUAGGCGGUUUGUCGCGUCUGCCGUGAAAGUCCGGGGCUCAACUCCGGAUCUGCGGUGGGUACGGGCAGACUAGAGUGAUGUAGGGGAGACUGGAAUUCCUGGUGUAGCGGUGAAAUGCGCAGAUAUCAGGAAGAACACCAAUGGCGAAAGCAGCUCUCUGGGACGGUACUGACGCUGAGACGCGAAAGCGUGGGGAGCGAACAGG
RNAcentral lists this ribosomal RNA (253 nucleotides) under uncultured bacterium. Its description in RNAcentral is "partial 16S ribosomal RNA". It matches the Rfam family "Bacterial small subunit ribosomal RNA", at positions 524 to 776 of the family's 1533-position model. The record is from RNAcentral.